This is a long non-coding RNA of Tarenaya hassleriana, 716 nucleotides long. RefSeq lists it as uncharacterized. NCBI's taxonomy places the organism in Eukaryota, Viridiplantae, Streptophyta, Magnoliopsida, Brassicales, Cleomaceae. The transcript is spliced from 3 exons. The record is from RefSeq and is a predicted model, not a curated record.
CUCUCUCUCUCCUCUGUCUGUCUUUCGAAACUGUCGGUUUUUUGCCGAAAAUACCUGGAUUUAAGCCGCGAUUUUUCUCUUGUACGUCUCUCUCUUUACUCUCUUCGGAUUCGAAGCACAAAGAAGGAAAAAAUAGCUUCUACAUCAAGUAAGAGCGAGCUUCGGAAGUGGAGGGCCGAAGAAGAAAUGGCACUGUCGAGGGUUUAUAAUCCCUCUUAUGGUGCCAAUGGGAUGUACAAAGACGUCGAGGGAGCGGAUCCGACGUAUCCCAGAAUGUGCAAGAAAUCCGUCAAAGCAAAUGUCAGAUGGAGUUUCAACACUGUUAUAGACCAGAUUGGUACUAAAGCAACGGGAAUUAAGAGCAUUCUUAAGAAGGAAGCGACAUAAGAAGCUCUUCUUUUUUAUCUAAAGGAUCUCGAUGGAAGUGAAGAUCCAACGGUUAAAGUAUGGAUGCAAUAUCUUGAGAAGAAUCCGGAGAGCAUAUACUGGAAAAAAAAUCCAUGAAAUGGAAAUUCGUUCCAGAAAUUCUUUAAAGAAAAAGAAGAAGGGGAAAAGUUUGGUAGAUGAAGAUGAAAUAGAAGAUGAGGGACGAGAAAAAGAAGAAGAAGAACAAGAACAAUAACCACAACAACCGCAACAAAGAGUCAUACCAGAACAAGGGAUACAAAAGGGAGCACAAAGAGUUCACGGAGUGUCAAGUCUCGAAGCACUGAAGA